RNAcentral lists this unclassified non-coding RNA (325 nucleotides) under uncultured fungus. Its description in RNAcentral is "partial contains small subunit ribosomal RNA, internal transcribed spacer 1, and 5.8S ribosomal RNA". The stretch from base 1 to 73 matches the Rfam family "Eukaryotic small subunit ribosomal RNA", at positions 1759 to 1831 of the family's 1831-position model. Lineage: Eukaryota; Fungi. The record is from RNAcentral.
UCAAACUUGGUCAUUUAGAGGAAGUAAAAGUCGUAACAAGGUUUCCGUAGGUGAACCUGCGGAAGGAUCAUUAUCGAGUUUUGAAUGGGGUUGUCGCUGCCCUUACGGGGGAUUGUGCACGCCUCGCUCAUCCACUCUACACCUGUGCACUUACUGUAGGCUUCGAAUUGUAACGUUGAGGGCUUUAAACGGCCUUUGGCGGAGCGUUCGGGCUUAUGUUUAUUACAAACCACAAAGUAUUAGAAUGUCUAUUGCGAAUAUAACGCAUCUAUAUACAACUUUCAGCAACGGAUCUCUUGGCUCUCGCAUCGAUGAAGAACGCAGC